RNAcentral lists this ribosomal RNA (245 nucleotides) under uncultured bacterium. Its description in RNAcentral is "partial small subunit ribosomal RNA". It matches the Rfam family "Bacterial small subunit ribosomal RNA", at positions 26 to 285 of the family's 1533-position model. The record is from RNAcentral.
AGAAUCAACGCUGGCGGCGUGCCUAACACAUGCAAGUCGCACGAGAAAGUGGAGCAAUCCAUGAGUAAAGUGGCGCACGGGUGAGUAACACGUGAAUAAUCUACCUCCGAGUGGGGAAUAACUGAGAGAAAUCUUAGCUAAUACCGCAUAAUACCUACGGGUCAAAGCAGCAAUGCGCUUGAAGAGGAGUUCGCGGCAGAUUAGUUAGUUGGCGGGGUAAUGGCCCACCAAGACGAUGAUCUGUA